CCUAGUAGAAAUAACACACUCUGUUCAAAUAAUGUAGAAUUACAAAUGGCAGCAAUGCAACACGAUUAUUCUCAAACAGACACAACUGGGGCUAGCCGAUUUACUCAACAAUCCAAUAAGAACAUAGCUACAUUUACCAGAGGGUCAAUUAUUUUGUUUUAAAUGUCACCAAUAAUUGAAUAUUGUGUUCUUAUUGCCUUCUAGAGCCCAUGG
This 213-nucleotide long non-coding RNA is filed under the name Hordeum vulgare. RNAcentral's name for it is "long non-coding RNA (HVUL_LNC012900)". The record is from RNAcentral. Lineage: Eukaryota; Viridiplantae; Streptophyta; Magnoliopsida; Poales; Poaceae.